This 360-nucleotide transfer RNA is filed under the name uncultured Microcystis sp. Its description in RNAcentral is "partial 16S-23S ribosomal RNA intergenic spacer". The stretch from base 136 to 209 matches the Rfam family "tRNA". Lineage: Bacteria; Bacillati; Cyanobacteriota; Cyanophyceae; Chroococcales; Microcystaceae. The record is from RNAcentral.
AAAGGGAGACCUAAUUCGGGUAGGAGACGAAAAAAAAGUAGUCGCUACCAAGAAUCAAUCCCAAAAGGUCGGAGCGAGGCGAAAUUGGCUUUCAAACUAGGUUCUGGGUUCACACAAGACCUGAAUCAGGAACAAGGGCUAUUAGCUCAGGUGGUUAGAGCGCACCCCUGAUAAGGGUGAGGUCCCUGGUUCGAGUCCAGGAUGGCCCACCUGCACAGGUGGCAAAAACAAGAGAAGCGAGGAAUCAGCACCUUAUCUUAUCUAUAUAUAAGAGAGAAUGCUGGCUCUGAGUUCAGAGUCCAGAGGAACCUUGAAAACUGCAUAGAGCUAGGUGAAAAAGCCAAAAAAGAAGACCGCAAG